Molecule: small RNA, 822 nt
Filed under: Pan troglodytes (chimpanzee)
Lineage: Eukaryota; Metazoa; Chordata; Mammalia; Primates; Hominidae
Description: retained intron
Source: RNAcentral
UUUCCUGAGCUCAAGCUACAGUUCCAAGAGUUUUCUUACCUACUCUACUCUAUCUUAUUUUGGAUUUGUACUUUUUAAAAACAAUUAUUUUACUUUCACAGAACUGGUUCUCCAGAGGAAAGGAGAUAAAGACACUUGAUAUGUUGAAUGAGUAACAAAAGAAUCAUAAAUCUGUGUGGACUUUUUUUGAUAAGUUUAGGAGAAGAUUCCAUUCUGCCACUAAGCUUGGACAACUUCCCCUAAAAGAGUCUGUUCAUUCCUUGUCUCAGGCAGUGACGUCAGUGUUGGGGGCCGUCCUCACCUCAAGGAGCACAGAGUCUGGUAUUGACAAGGAACGCAAACAGAUGAUUAUAAAGCAGUGUCAUAAACAUGUUGAUGAGAGUGUGCACAAAUGCUGUGGGAGGAAAGGAGGGUAUGAAUAUUUUCGUAUGGAAGAUAGAUGAAGACUUCACAAGAAAGAAAAUGCUUGAACUGAAUCUUGGAAGUUAGAACCAGCAGUUCACCAGGUAGGGAAAAGGCAUUCUAGCAAGAGGGAAUAGCACAGACACAGGCAUGGAAGGGUGAGAGAUGAUAGGAAGUGCCUGCAUAUGGCUAUAAAUACUAAGGGGAGUGUCAGGAGAUGAGGCUGGGAUGGUAAGUUACGGAAAGAUGAUGAAGGGCCCUGUGCUGUGUGCCCUGAAAAUCUGGUUUGGGAGGCAAAUCCCAGGACAGGUUGCAAUACACAUGGCUGAUAAGUGCAGAUAAUACAUCCUAUCAGGUCAUUUACUUUUAGUGCUAAGUCAGCCUCUCUAACAUAAAUAUUUUCCAUCUACUUUGUUACAU